Molecule: ribosomal RNA, 119 nt
Organism: Oncorhynchus mykiss (rainbow trout)
Lineage: Eukaryota; Metazoa; Chordata; Actinopteri; Salmoniformes; Salmonidae
Source: Ensembl
GCUUGCGGCCACACUGGCCUGAGUACGCCUGAUCUCGUCCGAUCUUGGAAGCUAAGCAGGGUCGGGCCUGGUUAGUACUUGGAUGGGAGACCGCCUGGGAAUACCAGGUGCUGUAAGCU